UACAGAGGUCUCAAGCGUUGUUCGGAUUCAUUGGGCGUAAAGGGUGCGUAGGUGGCGCGCUAAGUCAGGUGUGAAAUCUCGGGGCUUAACUCCGAAACUGCAUUUGAUACUGGCGUGCUUGAGGACUGGAGAGGAGACUGGAAUUCACGGUGUAGCAGUGAAAUGCGUAGAUAUCGUGAGGAAGACCAGUGGCGAAGGCGGGUCUCUGGACAGUUCCUGACACUGAGGCACGAAGGCCAGGGGAGCAAACGGG
This 253-nucleotide ribosomal RNA is filed under the name uncultured bacterium. RNAcentral's name for it is "partial 16S ribosomal RNA". It matches the Rfam family "Bacterial small subunit ribosomal RNA", at positions 524 to 776 of the family's 1533-position model. The record is from RNAcentral.